CGUGUAUUAGUUCUGCACACGGUGCUAUAAACAAAUUUGCAGGGCAACAUGACUUUUCUCAUGAACUUCUUCAUGAUGUUGCAAUGUACAGGUGCUGGACAAGAGCUGUAAUCUGUCCAAGCUACUAAGUGAUGUAAACACGUUAUUGAUGGAGCACCCUUUCCUUCAGCAUGGCAAUGUCAGACCACACAUGAGCGUUGCAACAUUUGCAUGACGCCUUGGGUUCA
This is a long non-coding RNA of Schistocerca serialis cubense, 227 nucleotides long. RefSeq lists it as uncharacterized. The transcript has 3 exons. The record is from RefSeq and is a predicted model, not a curated record. NCBI's taxonomy places the organism in Eukaryota, Metazoa, Arthropoda, Insecta, Orthoptera, Acrididae.